AUUUCUCCAUACAAACGUACUCGACUGUUUUCUCCGUGGUUUUUGAAGCUAGAGCACAAUGAUUUUUUCAACACAGAUUAUUAUUAUUAAUAUCUGUGUCGCACUGUUUUGCUUUUUUUGAUAUUUUUGUUUUUUAAGGCGCUAGAGCACUACAAAUAUUCGCAUAAACGGCCUAAUUUACUAGGCCGCAAAGAGAAGCAUGGUGUUCAAAACUGACAUCAAUUA
This is a long non-coding RNA of Cydia amplana, 225 nucleotides long. RefSeq lists it as uncharacterized. The transcript is spliced from 2 exons. The record is from RefSeq and is a predicted model, not a curated record. Lineage: Eukaryota; Metazoa; Arthropoda; Insecta; Lepidoptera; Tortricidae.